GAUGAACGCUGGCGGCGUGCCUAAUACAUGCAAGUCGAGCGAAUGGAUUAAGAGCUUGCUCUUAUGAAGUUAGCGGCGGACGGGUGAGUAACACGUGGGUAACAUGCCCAUAAGACUGGGAUAACUCCGGGAAACCGGGGGCUAAUACCGGAUAACAUUUUGAACCGCAUGGUUCGAAAUUGAACGGCGGCUUCGGCUGUCACUUAUGGAUGGACCCGCGUCGCAUUAGCUAGUUGGUGAGGUAACGGCUCACCAAGGUAACGAGGCGUAGCCGACCUGAGAGGGUGAUCGGCCACACUGGGACUGAGACACGGCCCAGACUCCUAUGGGAGGCGGUAGUAGGGAAUCUUCCGCAAUGGACGAAAGUCUGACGGAGCAACGCCGCGUGAGUGAUGAAGGCUUUCGGGUCGUAAAACUCUGUUGUUAGGGAAGAACAAGUGCUAGUUGAAUAAGCUGACACCUUGACGGUACCUAACCAGAAAGCCACGGCUAACUACGUGCCAGCCGCCGCCGUAA
RNAcentral lists this ribosomal RNA (516 nucleotides) under uncultured bacterium. RNAcentral describes it as "partial 16S ribosomal RNA". It matches the Rfam family "Bacterial small subunit ribosomal RNA", at positions 28 to 523 of the family's 1533-position model. The record is from RNAcentral.